Molecule: ribosomal RNA, 177 nt
Filed under: uncultured bacterium
Lineage: Bacteria
Description: partial 16S ribosomal RNA
Rfam family: Bacterial small subunit ribosomal RNA
Source: RNAcentral
AAGCCGGAAUCGCUAGUAAUCGCAGAUCAGCAUGCUGCGGUGAAUACGUUCCCGGGUCUUGUACACACCGCCCGUCACACCAUGGGAGCCGGGAAUGCCCGAAGUCAGCGGCCCAACCGAAAGGGGGAGCUGCCGAAGGCAGGCCUGGUGACUGGGGUGAAGUCGUAACAAGGUAGC